This 945-nucleotide non-coding RNA is filed under the name Varanus salvator (water monitor). RNAcentral describes it as "12S ribosomal RNA". It matches the Rfam family "Bacterial small subunit ribosomal RNA". The record is from RNAcentral. Lineage: Eukaryota; Metazoa; Chordata; Lepidosauria; Squamata; Varanidae.
AAAGUUUAAAUCUCAAACUUGCAGCUACCUACUAUUAAGACUACACAUGCAAGUAUCCGCACUCCAGUGAGAAUGCCUUCACCCCAUUACAAAUGCAACAGAGCAGGUAUCAGGCUCAACAACGUUAGCCCACCACACCUUGCCCAGCCACAUCCCCACGGAUGCCACAGCAGUGACUAACAUUAGGCAAUGAGCACAUAAAAGCUUGACCUAGCUAAUAUUUUCCUUGGCCGGCAAAUCUCGUGCCAGCAGCCGCGGUUACACGGGAGGCCAAAGAUAGCAUACUAACGGCGUAAAGAGUGACCACAGAUUUUUCCACCUACCACGGAUUCAAAAAUUCUACCUCAGAGAUAAAAUCCUAAGGUACCAAGAACUCCUAACAUCCACAAACAGGCCAUCCUACUCACGAAAACCAGGACACAAACUAGGAUUAGAUACCCUACUAUGCCCGGCCGUAAACAAAAAUGGAAUAAAACAACCCAUUCGCCUGAGAACUACCAGCACGAGCUAAAAACUCAAAAGACUUGACGGUGCUCUACCCUACCUAGAGGAGCCUGUCCUAUAAUCGAUACCCCACGAUCCACCCGACCACUACUAGCACCCCAGCCUAUAUACCGCCGUCGAAAGAAUAUCCUGCAAAGGGCCCAUAAUUAUCCCAACAGCCACAUCACUAAAACGUCAGGCCAAGGCAUAGCUAAUGUAGAGGCAGAGAUGGGCUACAUUUUCUGGCUACAGAACAAACGAAAAAUAGCAUGAAACCUGCUACUCAAAGGUGGAUUUAGCAGUAAGAUGAAAAAGCAUACUCACCUUAACCCAGCACCAGAGCACGUACACACCGCCCGUCACCCUCAUUAACAGCCCCGUACCCAAAUAUAUUCCUACCCAAACCCAUAAAUGAGGUAAGUCGUAACAUGGUAAGUGUACUGGAAAGUGCACUUGGAAAAC